GUGCACGAUCUCAAUGAUCGAACGAUAGGGGGAUUGGCUGCGACACCAUGAUUGUCAGACAGAAGGCUGUCAAGCUCUCAAGCACCGUGGAAGAUUUCAUUUUGCUCCAGGGUGAAUAGAAUACCAUGCACCAAGGGGAUGGAAAGCAAAGUGCACUAAGGGGAUUAAUGGCAAGAGACAACCACGGAGGGGUUAUUAACCUCAGAUUUAAUGGGUCAAAGACUGCCAAAGGUAGAGAGAGAG
RNAcentral lists this long non-coding RNA (243 nucleotides) under Elaeis guineensis (African oil palm). RNAcentral's name for it is "long non-coding RNA (EGUI_LNC074904)". The record is from RNAcentral. Lineage: Eukaryota; Viridiplantae; Streptophyta; Magnoliopsida; Arecales; Arecaceae.